GAUGAACGCUGGCGGCGUGCCUAAUACAUGCAAGUCGAGCGAACAGACGAGGAGCUUGCUCCUCUGACGUUAGCGGCGGACGGGUGAGUAACACGUGGAUAACCUACCUAUAAGACUGGGAUAACUUCGGGAAACCGGAGCUAAUAGCGGAUAAUAUAUUGAACCGCAUGGUUCAAUAGUGUAAGACGGUUUUGCUGUCACUUAUAGAUGGAUCCGCGCCGCAUUAGCUAGUUGGUAAGGUAACGGCUUACCAAGGCAACGAUGCGUAGCCGACCUGAGAGGGUGAUCGGCCACACUGGAACUGAGAAAAGGUCCAGACUCCUACGGGAGGCAGCAGUAGGGAAUCUUCCGCAAUGGGCGAAAGCUUGACGGAGCAACGCCGCGUGAGUGAUGAAGGUCUUCGGAUCGUAAAACUCUGUUAUUAGGGAAGAACAAAUGUGUAAGUAACUAUGCACGUCUUGACGGUACCUAAUCAGAAAGCCACGGCUAACUACGUG
This 497-nucleotide ribosomal RNA is filed under the name uncultured bacterium. RNAcentral's name for it is "partial 16S ribosomal RNA". It matches the Rfam family "Bacterial small subunit ribosomal RNA", at positions 28 to 507 of the family's 1533-position model. The record is from RNAcentral.